UUUGCAGGGCACGGAGGGAAGCAGUGUUGGUGGUGGCCCCGAGGCGUCGUAUGUGCAGCGGGUGGGGGGACAGCAAUAAAAAGGUACAAGCUUCCCCCUGUGGGGCAGCGUGAGAGCCAGCGGAGGCUGAGAGCUUAAAUCUCAGUCUCUGGCUCUUGGUGAAUUACUCUGGCAAGCAACGCAGUGAUGGCGGUGGCGUGAGGCCAUCCUUCCACAUGCCCUUCCAUAUUUGCAGGUACAACCUGCCUGUGGGUGAAGCCCCUGGCUCUAAACGUCCCCCUGCCCCCAGAUGAGGUUUUCUUUGUUUUGGCUUGGUUUCCUGAUGUCAUUUCCCUCCUUCUGCUAAGAAAUAUUUUAACACAGAGAUGACAAAUACGGAGACCUCAGCGUUGCCUGGGAGAAGCUGAUCGGCACGAAGGAGGGCCACUGGUGACAAUCCCUGUUUCGGCUCCUGGUACCAUGGCCCAUGGUCUCAGUGCUCAUUUCACCCCAGUACCACAGCCUGCCAAAAUGCCGUCGCAGUUUUGGUGCACCAUCUGUGAGCAGCCCGACCGCUUUGGAACGUGGCAGAGUGGCGGAGCAGCUGGGGAGCCGUGCAGCAUUUGCCUUCUCCGGGGGCUCCGCAACGCUCCAGUAUUUCUCCUCUUUGAAUAGAGCUGGCAAAAUCCAUAAUUGCUUCCACUCUCCUUGGCUAAAAACGAGGAAAAGCCCGGCACCCCGCCAUGGGGAUUGUUCAGCGCAGAGUCGAUGCGAUGAAGGCCUCUGCACCAGGAGUCGCCCAUAAUAGGUGGUGGCAAUGCCACAGCUCAGCUUGUUUUUUAAUAUCUCUCUUUUUUUUUUUCUCCUUUCAUGUGUUGUUUUUUCUCCCCCCCUGGGUGGAGUACAACCCGGGGGGGUGAUGACUUACCUGCCACAGCUCGGUAGAUCGCAAUCUGGAACUGGCAGAGUGUUAACACAAUGCCCCAGCGAGAGCUUUUCUGUCUCUAAUUUCUAUGAUUAUGUUGUUACUGGAUCAGUGAAGAGAACCAUGAAAAACACAAUUACCAGGAAGCCCUGUUCCUUUCCUCAUCCCUUUGUCUUGCUGUGGAUCGGGCGUAUGACUCACGGAGCAAUCAAGGACCCGCUCUACGCGCCUGCGCUACCGAAAACGCUGCUGCCCGCCGAUGGGACCCAGCCGUGGGAAAGCCUCACCGCUGGCUGAAGAACCCAGUCACGUCACGUUUUGCGGCUGGCGUCCAAAUGCGUCCUGAUGAAUCGAGUGAUAGCGGCUACCUGCUCCUGCUCCAGCAGUGGCCGAGCAGCAGCGCAGAAGAGGGGCUGUGGAAACCUCCCCGCCACAUAGGAAAGCACAGGGAAGGGAAGAUGGUUGUGAAUGAGCUUGCUGUGGCAGGACAGCAAUGUUUUUUUAGGUGACCGGCAUAGCGUCAGACUAAAGGGAAAGGGGAUGAGCAUGUUUUGACUGUGGGUGCCGGUCUCAGAUUUGCUCAGUGCAAGCCCCUCUGAGCAUUGCAGGCUGGUGGGGCUGACCCGACCCCCUUACGUGACGCAGAGUGGGACAGGAGAACUUCACUUGUUGACUGCACUCCAAAUCAUGUAUAAACCUAAGCCUCCAACGACACGUGCCAAUAGCAGCAGAGCGGCCGAUAUUUUUACUACAAUUCCUAUGAAAAAUGUCAGCUCAAAGUCAACACCAACUCUCAACAGAUCUGAUAGGCGAGCGUGCUCCAAACUGACGGUUGAAAUGCAUUAUUUGCCUAUUGCGUGCUGCAAAUACAAAUGUGUAGCAGGAGAGAACAGACCUUGGCAAACAAACUGACAACAAGCUAUGCUUGUGGGGAAGGCUUGUGAUUUGAUCUGGAAGGGAACACUGAGUAUAAAUAGGGAUAAAGUUUACCUUAAGCACGCAUGAAAGGCAGGGUUAUGGGCCAUGGCUUGGACUUCUUCAUUCUUCUGCCAGAGAACAGUUUGAAACAUAUCUGCUAUU
Molecule: long non-coding RNA, 1984 nt
Organism: Chroicocephalus ridibundus (black-headed gull)
Lineage: Eukaryota; Metazoa; Chordata; Aves; Charadriiformes; Laridae
Exons: 4
Source: RefSeq, a predicted model, not a curated record